ACAAAAAAAUCGGACGCUCAUUUCUGAGCGUCCUUUCAUGGGAGAGGAGAAACCGGACGAAGAGCUUAUGGGGAAACGUAAGUCUUCUCCGCGG
Paenibacillus sp. JDR-2 is the source of this 94-nucleotide non-coding RNA. Lineage: Bacteria; Bacillati; Bacillota; Bacilli; Caryophanales; Paenibacillaceae. The record is from Rfam.